CCUACGGGUGGCAUCAGUGAGGAAUAUUGGUCAAUGGGCGCGAGCCUGAACCCGCCAAGUAGCGUGCAGUCUGACUGCCCUACGGGUUGUAAACUCCUUUUAUAAAAGAAUAAAGUGAGGAACGUGGGCCUUUUUGUAUGUACUUUAUGAAUAAGAAUCGGCUAACUCCGUGCCAGCAGCCGCGGUAAUAAGGAGGAUCCGAGCGUUAUCCGGAUUUAUUGGGUUUAAAGGGAGCGUAGAUGGGUUGUUAAGUCAGUUGUGAAAGUUUGCGGCUCAACCGUAAAAUUGCAAUUGAUACUGGCAGCCUUGAGUACAGUUGAGGUAGGCGGAAUUCGUGGUGUAGCGGUGAAAGGCUUAGAUAGCACGAAGAACUCCGAUUGCGAAGGCAGCCUACUAAACUGCCACUGACAUUGAUGCUCGAAAGUGUGGGUAUCAAACAGGAUUAGAUACCCUUGUAGUC
This 460-nucleotide ribosomal RNA is filed under the name uncultured bacterium. Its description in RNAcentral is "partial 16S ribosomal RNA". It matches the Rfam family "Bacterial small subunit ribosomal RNA", at positions 338 to 795 of the family's 1533-position model. The record is from RNAcentral.